UUGGGAAUAUUGCACAAUGGGCUCAAGCCUGAUGCAGCAAUCCCGCGUGAGUGAUGAAGGUCUUCGGAUCGUAAAGCUCUUUUAGCAGGGACGAAGGGUAACUUGACGGUACCUGCAGAAAAAGCACCGGCUAACUACGUGCCAGCAGCCGCGGUAAUACGUAGGGUGCAAGCGUUGUUCGGAAUCAUUGGGCGUAAAGCGCGUGUAGGCGGUUGGCUAAGUCCGGUGUGAAAUCCCGGGGCUUAACUCCGGAAGUGCAUUGGAUACUGGCCAGCUAGAGGACGGGAGAGGAAAGCGGAAUUCCUGGUGUAGGGGUGAAAUCCGUAGAUAUCAGGAGGAAUGCCGGAGGCGAAGGCGGCUUUCUGGUCCGUUUCUGACGCUGAGACGCGAAAGCGUGGGUAGCAAACA
This 408-nucleotide ribosomal RNA is filed under the name uncultured prokaryote. Its description in RNAcentral is "bacterial SSU rRNA". It matches the Rfam family "Bacterial small subunit ribosomal RNA", at positions 355 to 774 of the family's 1533-position model. The record is from RNAcentral.